ACGCACGCUGGCGGCGUGCUUCACACCUGCAAGUCGAACGGAAAGGCCCUGCUUUUGUGGGGUGCUCGAGUGGCGAACGGGUGAGUAACACGUGAGUAACCUGCCCUUGACUUUGGGAUAACUUCAGGAAACUGGGGCUAAUACCGGAUAGGAGCUCCUGCUGCAUGGUGGGGGUUGGAAAGUUUCGGCGGUUGGGGAUGGACUCGCGGCUUAUCAGCUUGUUGGUGGGGUAGUGGCUUACCAAGGCUUUGACGGGUAGCCGGCCUGAGAGGGUGACCGGCCACAUUGGGACUGAGAUACGGCCCAGACUCCUACGGGAGGCAGCAGUGGGGAAUAUUGCACAAUGGGCGGAAGCCUGAUGCAGCAACGCCGCGUGCGGGAUGAAGGCCUUCGGGUUGUAAACCGCUUUCGCCUGUGACGAAGCGUGAGUGACGGUAAUGGGUAAAGAAGCACCGGCUAACUACGUG
RNAcentral lists this ribosomal RNA (467 nucleotides) under uncultured bacterium. RNAcentral's name for it is "partial 16S ribosomal RNA". It matches the Rfam family "Bacterial small subunit ribosomal RNA", at positions 29 to 507 of the family's 1533-position model. The record is from RNAcentral.